GACGAACGCUGGCGGCGUGCCUAAUACAUGCAAGUCGAACGCAGUUGCGAACGGGUGAGUAACGCGUAGGUAACUGCCUCAUCGCGGGGGAUAACUAUUGGAAACGAUAGCUAAUACCGCAUACUGUGAGAUGGACCUGCGUUGUAUUAGCUAGUUGGUGAGGUAAAUGCUCACCAAGGCGACGAUACAUAGCCGACCUGAGAGGGGGAGAGGGCAAACUGGGAACGGGAAACGGCCCAGAAUUCUACGGGAGGCAGCAGUAGGGAAUCUUCGGCAAUGGACGGAAGUCUGAACGAGGAACGCCGCGGGAGGGAAGAAGGUUUUCGGAUCGUAAAGCUCUGGUGGUAGAGGAGCGGUAACUAACCAGAAAGGGACGGCUAACUACGUGCCAGCAGCCGCGGUAAUAC
RNAcentral lists this ribosomal RNA (407 nucleotides) under uncultured bacterium. RNAcentral describes it as "partial 16S ribosomal RNA". It matches the Rfam family "Bacterial small subunit ribosomal RNA", at positions 28 to 526 of the family's 1533-position model. The record is from RNAcentral.